RNAcentral lists this long non-coding RNA (460 nucleotides) under Equus caballus (horse). Its description in RNAcentral is "lncRNA (ENSECAG00000058660.1)". The record is from RNAcentral. Lineage: Eukaryota; Metazoa; Chordata; Mammalia; Perissodactyla; Equidae.
UAGAGCCAAGAAAACACCAUUAUGCGUCGGUGAUCAGGGAAAGCCUUCUCCACGGUUCCUGUAAGCUACGUGGAUUACCGGUGAGGCCUCACCCAGCAAUCCGGAGCAGGAAGUACAGAACACCCCAGAGGUCGCCUGCACACAACUAACUGAAACCCUCAAUUCAGCGGAUUGGCUUCCACCUUCAAGAGAAAAGCAAAUACUAAGAAAAUCAGUUCCCCCCUGGCACUGACCCUCUUUUCUUUCUGUAAUAGUCAGAGCACCCUGGCGGCGCGGCGCACAGGCACGGACACCUGCUGCAGCCUUGGGGCAGGGCGGCGCAGCGGACAGGCAGUUGGCACAGCAUCAGGGUCUCCAUGCCAGCACCACCACGCACAGGCUGUCAGCUUGGCGAGCUACCCCCACUCUCAGAGUCUUGAUUUCUUGGCUACGCAUUGGGGAUUAGAAAAAAUAAUAACCU